UUCUCAAUGUGAUAUGGCAUAAACAUAAAAUUGUUACAAUAACUUCUUUGUCCCCAGCUGCACUAUAUUAACUAUCUCGUUUCCUGCUGGGUAUCUUGUCUCUUCCCAACAUAUUGGCGAGAUUCUCUAACUUCCUGUCUCUCUAAGUAUUAGGUCAGACCUAUUUAGGUAUUUCCAAAUUCUCUGAGACUCUCCUACCAUUGAGAGGUCUAGUUUUCGUUUCCUCUACUCGCAUCUGGGUGAACUUGGAACUGCUUUGAUCAUCAGAGAAUCACAGAAUUGCUAUGUGUCUUCUGAGGUGAGGUCAUAAAAUACAGGUGAAAUUUGUCCUUGGAGUCCCGGACUAUGUCAUCAGUUUGACUAGCUGGGAGCUGCUGUGCUGUGAGGAAGCUCAGGUAACAGGGAGAGGCCAUAUUGAAGGACUCUGGUCAAAAGCUGAGCCAUUAAAUUGUCCCUGGCUAGGUAUCAGAUAUGUCAGUGAAAAUAGUCUCCAGAGGCUUCCAGUCUCCACCAUUCCAGUCUUUCCAACUGAGGCCCCAGACAUUGUGGAGCAGAGAAUCACCCCUUGACUCCUAGAGGCUAGCAUAAUAAAAUGGUUGUUAUUUUAUGCCACUAAAUUUUGGAAUUAUGUGUUAGUAGUAGAUAAUCAGAGUUGUAUAUAAAACUGAAGUCUUCUUCAUUUUAAAAUUUCAAAUUCUACAAGAAGCUUAUCCUUUCUCUUUUGCUCUGGCUGAAACUGUCUGUUUUCUCUAUGGCUUGGAGGAAGAAAUGGACACAGAUUCUUCUCUCCACAUAUGUCCCCAUUCCUGCUACCCUGUUCUUCCCUCUGGUGUGGGCAGGUGAAGAGGGAGAGUGCCGGCGGGUCUCCCUGCAGGAGGCAGGGGUAGGCUGCAGAUCUCUCUGGUUGAUUUCUACAGCACCUCUGGCCAACACUGACCAAUCAGCGAUGCCCCUGUGUGACAAGUAUCCACUGCUGCCUUCCCUGUGAUGUGCCAAAGCUGUUAGGAGGGCUGGGCAGAGCCUUCACUCUUCCCUGCUGCCUUUACCAUUUAUCACCACUAGCAUUUGAGCUCAGAGAGCCUCAGCUUUGC
This 1091-nucleotide long non-coding RNA is filed under the name Equus asinus (donkey). RNAcentral's name for it is "lncRNA (ENSEASG00005034152.1)". Lineage: Eukaryota; Metazoa; Chordata; Mammalia; Perissodactyla; Equidae. The record is from RNAcentral.